Chinchilla lanigera (long-tailed chinchilla) is the source of this 1648-nucleotide long non-coding RNA. RefSeq lists it as uncharacterized. The transcript has 3 exons. The record is from RefSeq and is a predicted model, not a curated record. NCBI's taxonomy places the organism in Eukaryota, Metazoa, Chordata, Mammalia, Rodentia, Chinchillidae.
AAGUGGAGCUCAGGUGGUAGAAUUGUAACCCAGACGCCUCUAGAUCAGUUUCUCUCUCAGCACGUUGACUUGUCUAAGAACCCCAAUUUCAAUCCCAAGAGUCAAUUCAAACCAAAGAUAUUUUUGCAGACUCCACCCUGGCUUAAGCAAGUUUCCAGAGCAAAAGACCAUGGAGGAUGAACUAUAUUAAGCAGAAGAUUAGACCCUGAAGGUGGAAAAUGAUAAGGUAGGGGUAUUUCCUUUUGAAAAUAUGGAAUUGCUUUGUAAAGAACUCAAAGCAAUGCACUUGUUAGCAGUAAGAUUCUGGAGGAAAGGGAAAAUUGGCACUGCUAAAACCUACUUCCUCUUUUGAAAAGAAAAGUGGAGAGGGAAGAAUUGAUUUCUGGAACAUAUUGUAUGGAACAAUAUCUUUUUAUUUUAAGGUGGAAUAUUGACAUCAUACCACAGUGAUACUAUUUUUUCCCGUGAUGACAUCAUAACUGUCUCUUCAGUAUUUUUCUUCCAUCCAAAAUACUUCUUGGCUAUGAUUAUGAGAGGUAAACUUAAAAAGUCCCAAGGGCCCAAUAAGUCUUUCAUAAGGAUGGAAAGAAUAUUUACUUUGCCAGUGAACUUUUACAUUUGUAGUGACAGAUCUCAAUAUUAAAGACAGUAAAGUUUGUAGUUUCUUCUUGAAUAUUCAUUUCUCUUUGGCUCCUGAACAUCUACACUUGCAUUAUUUUACUAAACUUUAUACAGAACAGUUAAGGUUCUAACGACCUAGAACUUUGUGUGGAUUUUAACAGCAUAUACAAACUAUGCCAUAUACAAACCAUAACACUGUUCAACAUACCAUACAUCUGCAUAUAAUCAACUUGUGUUCUGAGUGUUUUCCUAAAUUUCAUGUGUGAAAUCCUACUCCCCAAUAUGAUGGUAUGGAGUUGUGGAGAUACUGGGAAUGAAUAAAGAUCAGCAGGUCAGAACCCUUAAUAAUGAGAUGCAUGCACAUAUAAGAGGCUUCCCUUGCCAUGGGAGAACAUAGGUAGAAUGUAACAGCUGUAACCAAUAUUUCACUAGACAUGUAUGUUGUGAGUGCUUUGGUGCUGGAUUUAUCAGCAUUUAUAGUUGAGAAAAAUAAUUUUCUUGUAAGCAGAUAACACUGUGAUAUUUUGUUUAGGGGAGCUGCAAUGUACAAAAACAAAGAUUAUGAACAUUUUGUUGGUGAAUGCUAUACCAGUAGCAAUGGUGGUGGCCACACCAUGAAAAACAGUAUUUACAUUUAUUCAGAUUACAUAUUCAUCUGAAUAAUGUACCUAGCCAUGUGGACAUGUUUCACAAUUUUACUUCUCCCCCUAAAUCAUAUAAUUACUAGCAUGGGUAACCAAUGCAAGUUCGUGCAAUAUAUUGCUACUUCAUCUAGUGACAAUACAUUUUAGAUGAAAUCUUUGACAAAAAUAAGUCUUCACAUGGAAUUAAAAACUAAAGGAAAUAGUGACUCAGACAGAGACAGGGUCCAAGAGACACACACACAUCUCUACACAGUAUACUCAAACCUCCUUGAGGUGUGGUGGCAUACACCUGUAAUCCCAGUACUUGGGAGGCUGAGACAGGAUCACAGUGAGUUCAAGCCAGCCUGGGUUACAUAGUGAGCUGAAGGCCAAUCAGAACUACA